This 253-nucleotide ribosomal RNA is filed under the name uncultured bacterium. RNAcentral describes it as "partial 16S ribosomal RNA". It matches the Rfam family "Bacterial small subunit ribosomal RNA", at positions 524 to 776 of the family's 1533-position model. The record is from RNAcentral.
UACGUAGGGCGCGAGCGUUGUCCGGAUUUAUUGGGCGUAAAGAGCUCGUAGGCGGCUUGUUGCGUCGGCUGUGAAAACCCAUGGCUCAACCGUGGGCUUGCAGCCGAUACGGGCAGGCUAGAGUUCGGUAGGGGAGACUGGAAUUCCUGGUGUAGCGGUGAAAUGCGCAGAUAUCAGGAGGAACACCGGUGGCGAAGGCGGGUCUCUGGGCAGUAACUGACGCUGAGGAGCGAAAGCGUGGGGAGCGAACAGG